Molecule: ribosomal RNA, 497 nt
Filed under: uncultured bacterium
Lineage: Bacteria
Description: partial 16S ribosomal RNA
Rfam family: Bacterial small subunit ribosomal RNA
Source: RNAcentral
GAUGAACGCUGGCGGCGUGCCUAAUACAUGCAAGUCGAGCGAACAGACGAGGAGCUUGCUCCUCUGACGUUAGCGGCGGACGGGUGAGUAACACGUGGAUAACCUACCUAUAAGACUGGGAUAACUUCGGGAAACCGGAGCUAAUACCGGAUAAUAUAUUGAACCGCAUGGUUCAAUAGUGAAAGACGGUUUUGCUGUCACUUAUAGAUGGAUCCGCGCCGCAUUAGCUAGUUGGUAAGGUAACGGCUUACCAAGGCGACGAUGCGUAGCCGACCUGAGAGGGUGAUCGGCCAAACUGGAACUGAGACACGGUCCAGACUCCUACGGGAGGCAGCAGUAGGGAAUCCUCCGCAAUGGGCGAAAGCCUGACGGAGCAACGCCGCGUGAGUGAUGAAGGUCUUCGGAUCGUAAAACUCUGUUAUUAGGGAAGAACAAAUGUGUAAGUAACUAUGCACGUCUUGACGGUACCUAAUCAGAAAGCCACGGCUAACUACGUG